This 210-nucleotide ribosomal RNA is filed under the name Triticum aestivum (bread wheat). Its description in RNAcentral is "partial small subunit ribosomal RNA". Lineage: Eukaryota; Viridiplantae; Streptophyta; Magnoliopsida; Poales; Poaceae. The record is from RNAcentral.
AUGUGCAUGAUGCAUCAUCAGAGGCCGAAGAAGAUGGUGGCUUUUGAAGGUGAUUUGACUGGGAGGCGAUUCCUGGGUUGUCCUGUGCAGCAGGAUGUAGGUGUGAACUGUGGGGUUGUGGAGUGGGUGGAUGGUCAUUGGCCAGAGAUUCUACAAAGGUGCCUAACAAGGAUUUGGGACAUGUACCAUGAGCGAACUUGGGGAGGGUGA